GGAACUGGGAUAAUCCCUGAUAAGCCAGAGAUGCUGGAAGGCGCUCUGGUAGAAAGUUCCGACGCCUCAGGAUGGGUCUGCGGCCUAUCAGGGUAGUAGUGGGUGUAACGUACCUACUAGCCUACGACGGGUACGGGUUGUGAGAGCAAGAGCCCGGAGAUGGAUUCUGAGACACGAAUCCAGGCCCUACGGGGUGCAGCAGGCGCGAAAACUUUACAAUGCGGGACACCGCGAUAAGGGGACCUCGAGUGCCGGCAUACAAUGCUGGCUGUCAUGAUGCCUAAAAAGCAUCGUAUAGCAAGGGCCGGACAAGACCGGUGCCAGCCGCCGCGGUAACACCGGCGGCUCGAGUGGUAACCGCUAUUAUUGGGUCUAAAGGGUCUGUAGCCGGCUUGAUAAGUCUCUUGGGAAAUCCGGCAGCUUAACUGUCGGGCUGCCAGGGGAUACUGUCUGGCUUGGGACCGGGAGAGGUGAGAGGUACUUCAGGGGUAGGGGUGAAAUCUUGUAAUCCUUGAAGGACCACCAGUGGCGAAGGCGUCUCACCAGAACGGGUCCGACGGCAAGGGACGAAAGCUAGGGGCACGAACCGGAUUAGAUACCCGGGUAGUCCUAGCUGUAAACGAUACUCGCUAGGUGUCGGCCACGGUGCGACCGUGGUCGGUGCCGUAGGGAAGCCGUGAAGCGAGCCACCUGGGAAGUACGGCCGCAAGGCUGAAACUUAAAGGAAUUGGCGGGGGAGCACUACAACGGGUGGAGCCUGCGGUUUAAUUGGAUUCAACGCCGGAAAGCUCACCGGGGGGCGACAGCAUGAUGAAGGCCAGGCUGAAGACCUUGCCUGAUCCGCUGAGAGGUGGUGCAUGGCCGUCGUCAGUUCGUACUGUGAAGCAU
RNAcentral lists this ribosomal RNA (888 nucleotides) under uncultured archaeon. Its description in RNAcentral is "bacterial SSU rRNA". It matches the Rfam family "Archaeal small subunit ribosomal RNA", at positions 136 to 1024 of the family's 1478-position model. The record is from RNAcentral.